UCCUUAGGGUGAAGAUAGUACAGGACAGUGGCGGAUGGGUGAGUAACGCGUAAGAAACCUGCCUUUCACACCGGGAUAGCAGCUGGAAACGGCUAUUAAUACCGGAUGACACUUUUUCCCCGCAUGAGGAAGAGGUUAAAGAAUUUCGGUGAAAGAUGGUCUUGCGUCUGAUUAGCUAGUUGGUGGGGUAACGGCCUACCAAGGCGACGAUCAGUAGCCGGCCUGAGAGGGUGUACGGCCACAUUGGGACUGAGACACGGCCCAAACUCCUACGGGAGGCAGCAGUGGGGAAUUUUGCACAAUGGAGGAAACUCUGAUGCAGCGACGCCGCGUGAACGAAGAAGGUCUUCGGAUUGUAAAGUUCUGUCCUGGGUGAAGAUAAUGACGGUAACUCAGGAGGAAGCCCCGGCUAACUACGUGCCAGCAGCCGCGGUAAUACGUAGGGGGCGAGCGUUGUUCGGAAUUAUUGGGCGUAAAGGGUACGUAGGCGGUUUGUUAAGUUUGGCGUUAAAUCACGGGGCUCAACCCCGUUCAGCGUUGAAAACUGGCAAACUUGAGUAGUAGAGGGGACAGUGGAAUUCCUAGUGUAGCGGUGAAAUGCGUAGAGAUUAGGAAGAAUACCGGUGGCGAAGGCGACUGUCUGGAUACAUACUGACGCUCAGGUACGAAAGCGUGGGGAGCAAACAGGAUUAGAUGCCCUGGUAGUCCACGCCCUAAACGAUGAGUGCUAGGUGU
Molecule: ribosomal RNA, 735 nt
Filed under: uncultured Eubacteriales bacterium
Lineage: Bacteria; Bacillati; Bacillota; Clostridia; Eubacteriales
Description: bacterial SSU rRNA
Rfam family: Bacterial small subunit ribosomal RNA
Source: RNAcentral